This 57-nucleotide transfer RNA is filed under the name Caenorhabditis briggsae. RNAcentral's name for it is "tRNA-Phe". Lineage: Eukaryota; Metazoa; Nematoda; Chromadorea; Rhabditida; Rhabditidae. RNAcentral also lists the same sequence under 10 other names. The record is from RNAcentral.
ACUCUUUUAGUUUAUAUUUAAAAUAUGACUCUGAAGAAGUUAAGAAUAUUAGGAGUA